GACGAACGCUGGCGGCGUGCUUAACACAUGCAAGUCGAACGGAAAGGCCUCUUUCGGGGGGUACUCGAGUGGCGAACGGGUGAGUAACACGUGAGUAACCUGCCCUUGACUUUGGGAUAACUUCAGGAAACUGGGGCGAAUACCGGAUAGGAGCUCCUGCUGCAUGGUGGGGGUUGGAAAGUUUCGGCGGUUGGGGAUGGACUCGCGGCUUAUCAGCUUGUUGGUGGGGUAGUGGCUUACCAAGGCUUUGACGGGUAGCCGGCCUGAGAGGGUGACCGGCCACAUUGGGACUGAGAUACGGCCCAGGCUCCUACGGGGGGCAGCCGUGGGGAAUAUUGCACAAUGGGUGGGAGCCUGAUGCAGCAACGCCGUGUGCGGGAUGACGGCCUUCGGGUUGUAAACCGCUUUCGCUCAUGACGAAGCUUUGUGUGACGGUAGUGGGUAAAGAAGCACCGGCUAACUACGUG
This 467-nucleotide ribosomal RNA is filed under the name uncultured bacterium. RNAcentral describes it as "partial 16S ribosomal RNA". It matches the Rfam family "Bacterial small subunit ribosomal RNA", at positions 28 to 507 of the family's 1533-position model. The record is from RNAcentral.